RNAcentral lists this ribosomal RNA (1168 nucleotides) under Rhodococcus (subgen. Prescottella) equi. RNAcentral's name for it is "Rhodococcus hoagii partial 23S ribosomal RNA". It matches the Rfam family "Bacterial large subunit ribosomal RNA", at positions 1 to 1085 of the family's 2925-position model. Lineage: Bacteria; Bacillati; Actinomycetota; Actinomycetes; Mycobacteriales; Nocardiaceae. The record is from RNAcentral.
ACAGUGGACGCGAGCAUCUUUGUUGUAAGUGUUUAAGAGCGUACGGUGGAUGCCUUGGCACCAGGAGCCGAUGAAGGACGUAGGAGGCUGCGAUAAGCCUCGGGGAGCUGUCAACCGAGCUGAGAUCCGAGGAUGUCCGAAUGGGGAAACCCAGCCACAGUGAUGUGUGGUUACCCGCGCCUGAAUAUAUAGGGCGUGUGGAGGGAACGUGGGGAAGUGAAACAUCUCAGUACCCACAGGAAGAGAAAACAACAUGUGAUUCCGUGAGUAGUGGCGAGCGAAAGCGGAAGAGGCUAAACCAUGGGUGUGUGAUAGCCGGCGGGCGUUGCAUUCGUGGGGUUGUGGGAUCCGUCUUGUCAAUUCUGCCGGAUUGGCCGACAGUGAGAAAUCAUCGUGUUAGUCGAAGUGGUCUGGAACGGCCUGUCGUAGAGGGUGAGAGUCCCGUAGACGAAAACAUGGUGACUGUCGUGACGGACACCCGAGUAGCAGCGGGCCCGUGAAAUCUGCUGUGAAUCUGUCGGGACCACCCGAUAAGCCUGAAUACUCCCUGGUGACCGAUAGCGGACUAGUACCGUGAGGGAAAGGUGAAAAGUACCCCGGGAGGGGAGUGAAAUAGUACCUGAAACCGUGCGCUUACAAUCCGUCAGAGCCUGCGCCACUUUUGGUGGGUGGGUGAUGGCGUGCCUUUUGAAGAAUGAGCCUGCGAGUUAGCGGCAUGUCGCGAGGUUAACCCGUGUGGGGUAGCCGUAGCGAAAGCGAGUCCGAAUAGGGCGUUUGUAGUGGCAUGUUCUAGACCCGAAGCGGAGUGAUCUACCCAUGGCCAGGGUGAAGCGACGGUAAGACGUCGUGGAGGCCCGAACCCACUUAGGUUGAAAACUGAGGGGAUGAGCUGUGGGUAGGGGUGAAAGGCCAAUCAAACUCCGUGAUAGCUGGUUCUCCCCGAAAUGCAUUAGGUGCAGCGUCGCGUGUUUCACUCUGGAGGUAGAGCUACUGGAUGGCCGAUGGGCCCACAAGGUUACUGACGUCAGCCAAACUCCGAAUGCCAGAGUGUGAGAGCGCGGCAGUGAGACUGCGGGGGAUAAGCUUCGUAGUCGAGAGGGAAACAGCCCAGGAUUCGCCGGCUAAGGCCCCUAAGCGUGUACUAAGUGGAAAAGGAUGUGGGUCGCGA